This is a ribosomal RNA of Parasporobacterium paucivorans DSM 15970, 666 nucleotides long. It matches the Rfam family "Bacterial large subunit ribosomal RNA", at positions 1 to 673 of the family's 2925-position model. Lineage: Bacteria; Bacillati; Bacillota; Clostridia; Lachnospirales; Lachnospiraceae. The record is from Rfam.
GGUCAAGAUAAUAAGAGCGCAAGGUGGAUGCCUUGGCACUAAGAGCCGACGAAAGACGCGAUAAGCUGCGAAAAGCUUCGGGGAGGAGCAAAUAUCCUACGAUCCGGAGAUGUCUGAAUGGGGAAACCCGGCAGGAGUGAUACCUGUCACUGCAUGGUGAAUACAUAGCCAUGCAGGGGGAACCCGGUGAACUGAAACAUCUAAGUAACCGGAGGAAAAGAAAGAAAACUCGAUUUCCUGAGUAGCGGCGAGCGAAAGGGAAGGAGCCUAAACCGGGAUGCGUGCAUCCCGGGGUUAAGGACCGCAAUAUGUGAGCCGAAAGUUAGAAGAAUGGUUCUGGAAAGACCAGCCGUAGAGAGUGAAAGCCUCGUAAACGAAAACGGAAGGCAGCAAGCGGGAUCCAAAGUACCACGAGACACGAGAAACCUUGUGGGAAUUCGGGGGGACCACCCCCCAAGGCUAAAUACUACUUAGUGACCGAUAGCGCAUAGUACUGUGAAGGAAAGGUGAAAAGAACCCCGGGAGGGGAGUGAAAGAGAACCUGAAACCUUGUGUUUACAAGCUGUGGAACCGCCAUUGAAGGCGGAACCGCGUACUUUUUGUAGAACGGUCCGGCGAGUUGCCUUUGCAGGCAAGGUUAAGCACUUAAGGUGCGGAGCCGCAGGG